RNAcentral lists this ribosomal RNA (490 nucleotides) under uncultured bacterium. Its description in RNAcentral is "partial 16S ribosomal RNA". It matches the Rfam family "Bacterial small subunit ribosomal RNA", at positions 30 to 507 of the family's 1533-position model. The record is from RNAcentral.
AUUGAACGCUGGCGGCAGGCCUAACGCAUGCAAGUCGAACGGUAACAGGAAACAGCUUGCUGUUUCGCUGACGAGUGGCGGACGGGUGAGUAAUGUCUGGGAAACUGCCUGAUGGAGGGGGAUAACUACUGGAAACGGUAGCUAAUACCGCAUAACGUCGCAAGACCAAAGAGGGGGACCUUCGGGCCUCUUGUCAUCGGAUGCGCCCAGAUGGGAUUAGCUAGUAGGUGGGGUAACGGCUCACCUAGGCGACGAUCCCCAGCUGGUCUGAGAGGAUGACCAGCCACACUGGAACUGAGACACGGUCCAGACUCCUACGGGAGGCAGCAGUGGGGAAUAUUGCACAAUGGGCGCAAGCCUGAUGCAGCCAUGCCGCGUGUAUGAAGAAGGCCUUCGGGUUGUAAAGUACUUUCAGCGGGGAUGAAGGGAGUAAAGUUAAUACCUUUGCUCAUCGACGGUACCCGCAGAAGAAGCACCGGCUAACUCCGUG